This 422-nucleotide ribosomal RNA is filed under the name uncultured prokaryote. RNAcentral describes it as "bacterial SSU rRNA". It matches the Rfam family "Archaeal small subunit ribosomal RNA", at positions 914 to 1325 of the family's 1478-position model. The record is from RNAcentral.
CUCGCGUGUCUAUUACCAGAAGCGACGGCAGGAUGAAGGUCAGACUAAAGAUCUUACCUGACGAGCCGAGAGGUGGUGCAUGGCGACCGUCAGCUCGUGGUGCGAACUGUCCGGUUAAGUCCGGUAACGAGCGAGACCCUUAUGAAUAGUUGCAACCGGUUUAGCGAUAAACCGGGCACUCUAUUUGGACCGCCUCUGUUUAAAGAGGAGGAAGGAGGGGGCGACGAUACGUCAGUAUGCCCUGAAUCUCCUGGGCUACACGCGGCAUACAAAGGUCGAUACAAUGAGAUGCAAUGCCGAAAGGACAAAGACCAAACGACCCCCUAAAACCCGAACCUAACGUUCGGUAGUUGAGGGCUGAAACUCCGCCCUCAUGAAGAUGGGAUCCCUAUAAUCGCUUGUCACUAUCGAGCGGUGAAUAC